ACUCGUCAUGCUGACCCAAUACACACCUCACAGAUCCCUCAUGGGCUGUCAAGUACCAGAUUAACGACCGUCCCCAUGGGAGGUAUCAGAAUCAGAGGUUCCUGCAACUUACACUUUUAUCUUUCAAUGCCCCUUGGCAAUCAUUAUCCACCUGACCGUUUGAUCUCUUUUUUUCGUUCUCGGUUCAGGCCUUUCUUGUAUCGCUUUUUC
Molecule: long non-coding RNA, 210 nt
Filed under: Lathyrus oleraceus (garden pea)
Lineage: Eukaryota; Viridiplantae; Streptophyta; Magnoliopsida; Fabales; Fabaceae
Description: Pisum sativum (pea) long non-coding RNA (PSAT_LNC026332)
Source: RNAcentral